GAUGCCACCUUCUGGUGGGCACAUAUAGCAGCCUUUUAUUGAGAUAGAGAAAUUAAUUAGUAAGGCUAAGCAAGUCAACCAGCAGCAUCAGAAAAAGAACCUAGGGACUCCCAGAUGUAUGAGGCACCAAAAACAUAAAAUACCUAAAAGAUUCCAAUAAAAAUGGACAAGAAAGCUGUAGAGCGAACAACCCCUGUAAGAGCAUACCAACAGGUGGGUGUAGAAGCAUCCAUAAACCAGGAUAAGAUUUACAUAAGAUCAACAAGUGUUCUUAAAAGAACUAAUUCACUAGAAACUCCUUUUUUGUUUUUAAGAAAAGCAACAACAUUACAUUUCUCAGCAGAAAGUCUGUGCUGGGAUCCAUACGACAGUUCAAAAAACAAAACAAAAGUGAAUCCUUUCUUACAAGGACUAUAAUGUGAGUCUGCUUAUUCUAAAAGUUCUUUGCAUCAAAAGUGGAAUAAAAAUACACAGCUCAUCUUAAUUUUCUGAAUAGAGCUACUUUUCUCUCCAAAAUAUCUUACAUUCGAAAUUAUAACUUUGUUUCAGAAGCAACAAAAUUUUAAAGUCGGGUAAACUAAAUGCAGGGCUGAACAAUUAUGUGUAGUCAUGUUGAAGAUACCAGAAUAGACAUAUUUGAAUUUUGUUUUAUGUACAAUAAAGAUCAGCAAAAUCUACCAUACUAUAAUGAAAUAGAAGAAUGGCAACAAGGUGAUCAAACCAUCAUUAGUAUAUAGUAAGAAAAAACCUAGAAAUUAUUGAGCGGUCUGCUCCGUCAAGAACAAAUUGCUUGUACUUAGGGUCUUCUUCUUGAGGAAUGAGUUUCCACAUAAAGGUCGGGCGAUGAAGCAUAUCGCCUGCGAAAAGAUACUGUCCAAAGUUUAUAGCUACAUGGUGACCAGAAAUAAUCCAAAUCAUUGAGGUAAGUAUGCCAGAUAGUCCUCUUUAUAAGCAAGGUUUGGCUACCACGACUCAAUUUUCUUCACCGGGUGACCCUUAUUCAUGAUCUCAUUCCAUCAACCUUGAAGCUCAACAUCUGACUUGACAGAUUCAGGGUCAGUGUAAUAGUGCUGAAUAUGGGACUCCACUAGUUAUUUUAUUUUAGACCAUAUGAGAAGGUUGUCAGCUACAUAAGGAUAGUCCUCAAUUACAAGUUUCACUCCACAUGGUACCUGAUAAGCAAUUGUACAUCCAGGGUUGCCAAUGAUAGAGCAAGAAGCAACGUCUCUUUAUGAUAUAGGUCACCGCAGAGUUGAACACACUUAAAGGAAUCGUUGUCAGUAAUGUUCAAUGAAAAAAUUACCGAUGGAGAUUUUGAGCAACAAUAGCUAGGGCGUGAUAUUGGAGAAUAGAGAUGAAAAUUUUUAGCAACAAUACCUAGGGUUGGAGAACACAAAGAGUUUUUUCCUUUUUGGGUGCCUUAAGUUUGAUUAACAAUUUGGCAUUGGCGGUACUCUAAAUUAUUAGUAAUAGGGACCAGUAAUUCAUUUUCUUUGGACUGGAUUUUAU
RNAcentral lists this long non-coding RNA (1509 nucleotides) under Capsicum annuum. RNAcentral's name for it is "long non-coding RNA (CANN_LNC001165)". Lineage: Eukaryota; Viridiplantae; Streptophyta; Magnoliopsida; Solanales; Solanaceae. The record is from RNAcentral.